UAUUACUGUAAGUAUGAAAAGCACUGUCUUAAUUGCUGUCUCAUUCAUAUUCCAUUUCUGUAAAUUGUCAUAAAAAUGACAGAUCAGUAAUGUAUUACAUAUUGUGAUACAUUGCCAUCAAAGUUAGUUAAAACACCAUAAAGCAGAAUUAAAGUAGCCUUAUAAAUACAUAAAAUCAAAAAAUCAGUUUCAGCAAAUGUGAAAUUGGGUGGAAAAACUGAUUUACACAUCAAAUGCAAGUAAGUGUAAACCUUGUAGCUUAUACAAAAAAGUAAACUAUUCAAUAAUAUAAUAAAGAAAAAGUAUUUAUAUAUAAUUUUAAAUAACAAGUAAUCAAUUUUAUCUUAUUUCAGAAGGAAUACAAAUUUUUAUUAAGACAGAUGGAGUAAAUAAUGAUUUUCUGGAAUGUCUAAAAUGUAAUUUGAGCAAAACUUUCAAGAAUGUAAAGUUAGAUAAAAAUAAAGUAGAAGAUGACUUUAUUACAAAAUCAAGUAUUAUACAAGUUCAUAAAAAUAAAUCUUUAAUGCAAGUAGUUAAUGAAGAUUUUGAAAAUUCUACUGUAAUUAAAAAUACUGUGGUGCAUGUUGUACAUUCUGAAUUUAGAAUGGAUGAACAUUAUGAAAUUUCUAAGAAAGUUAAAGAACUUGUCAAAUUGAGAAGAAUUCAUAACAGUUUUAUAUAUUAUGUAUGCUUAAAAAAUGAUGAUUGGAUCUCACAGAAUAAUCAUGUAUGUGAAAUUAUCGCUGAUCUUUUAUUCAGUAAUUCUUCUGCACUAUCUGGUCAAAUUUUUUAUGUAUAAUAUCUUUACAGUUUUAUAACAUUGAGAAAAUAUUUUUUACUAUAAAUCGUAAACUUUUUUAAUGAAAAUAUAAACUUAGUAUUAACAUAUCAAUCAUUAUUAUCUCAAUUACAAUUAUCUAAAAAUUGAAUUAAAUGAAUUUUUUUAAAAUGAGUAAUAACUAAUGAUAACUAAAAUAAUUCAUUUUAAAUUGAUGUUGAAUUGUAAUUGAUGUUAAAAAUUUUUAAACAUUUUUAAAUUAAUAAUAAUAACAUUCAAUAUGGAAAAGGUAUUUCAUGUGAAGAAGAAUAACCUAUGCUUUGAAUACAAAAUUAUAUUAAAAUUUUAAUUUAUUAUUAUUAUUUAUUGUAUUAAGUUUAAUGUUUUUAGUACUGUGGAAUCUAGUUAACUGGAACUAGGAUAAUUCGAAGUCAUUUUCGUUCCCCGAUUAUUUGGCAUAAGGUUUUACAUGUUAAAUCAAACUGGUUAACUCAAAUUCGUCUAACUGGUUAACUGGAAUGGGGUUUUGAUACAGUAUUUUUUAUAAUUUCUCCGAAUUUUUAAUUUAAAUAAAAUAAUUAGCUUAUCUAUCGAAUAAACUAAUCAUAAACUUUCUAUAAAGCGCGGGAACCACAUUAUGACUGAAAAUAAAUAUUAUCAUAUAAGGGUGGAGUGGAGUGUGGUGGCUUCCCCGCGUUUCUUUAUGCAGCGCUUUAAGCGAACACACUGAAACUGGUUUCUAAUUGGCCAACACUGCUAGUGAUGUCAUUUCGCUAUACACUCGCUGUAUAAAGAAACGCGAGGUUCUAGACAGCGUGUGUGACCUAGAUAUUACACUGUAAUUGUCAUUUGAAGUUUCUUUUUUAAACACUUUUUCUUUUUUGUUUUAUUUGAUUGCUAGUAGAUUUCUUCGACUAUCAGACGUAAUAAAUAAAUGAAUUUUUGAUAGAAUCGAACUAAAAUCGGUUUUUAAUUAAUUUGUGUAAAAAUUUUAAACCUUCGGUAAACUUUUAAAAAUAUAACAAUCGUAGUUCUAAAACUGCUGUUCAAAUCAAUUUUUUCCGAACAAAUCACAUAAAUUGAAUUAUGUUAAAAGUUAAAAAGCUUUUUUAAAAGCAUUCGUUUAUUUCUGACUGCAAGGGCAGUAAAUAAAGAAAAUCCAAACAACUUAAGAUUAGUGCUUCUCAAUCUCCGUAUUCACGGAAGAAUGAAGAAAAAGUGAUCCUUGAAUACAGAGAUGCAACAGCCUCGUGUGCACAAUAUUUUGUAAAUAAAAUAAUUAUGGGAACGGAAUUCAAACGCAUUUUUUAAAUUUUAAUAUUUAGACUGAAUUAGUAAGAAAACUAUACUAACAAAAUUUGGUUUUAAUUAUUUUGAAAAAAUUUAGC
This is a long non-coding RNA of Centruroides sculpturatus (bark scorpion), 2166 nucleotides long. RefSeq lists it as uncharacterized. NCBI's taxonomy places the organism in Eukaryota, Metazoa, Arthropoda, Arachnida, Scorpiones, Buthidae. The transcript is spliced from 3 exons. The record is from RefSeq and is a predicted model, not a curated record.